UGGGGAAUAUUGGACAAUGGGCGCAAGCCUGAUCCAGCCAUGCCGCGUGAGUGAUGAAGGCCUUAGGGGUGUAAAGCUCUUUUAGCGGGGACGAUAAUGACGGUACCCGCAGAAAAAGCCCCGGCCAACUUCGUGCCAGCAGCCGCGGUAAUACGAAGGGGGCUAGCGUUGCUCGGAAUCACUGGGCGUAAAGCGCACGUAGGUGGGUCGUUAAGUAGAGGGUGAAAUCCCAGGGCUCAACCCUGGAACUGCCUUCGAUACUGGCGACCUUCGAGUCCGGGAGAGGUGAGUAGAACUGCGAGUGUAGAGGGGAAAUUCGUAGAUAUUCGCAAGAACACCAGUGGCGAAGGCGGCUCACUGGCCCGGUACUGACACUGAGGUGCGAGAGCGUGGGGAGCAAACA
This 403-nucleotide ribosomal RNA is filed under the name uncultured bacterium. Its description in RNAcentral is "bacterial SSU rRNA". It matches the Rfam family "Bacterial small subunit ribosomal RNA", at positions 355 to 774 of the family's 1533-position model. The record is from RNAcentral.